RNAcentral lists this ribosomal RNA (482 nucleotides) under uncultured bacterium. RNAcentral's name for it is "partial 16S ribosomal RNA". It matches the Rfam family "Bacterial small subunit ribosomal RNA", at positions 30 to 507 of the family's 1533-position model. The record is from RNAcentral.
AUUGAACGCUGGCGGCAUGCUUUACACAUGCAAGUCGAACGGUAACAGGCCGCAAGGUGCUGACGAGUGGCGAACGGGUGAGUAAUGCAUCGGAACGUGCCCAGUCGUGGGGGAUAACUACUCGAAAGAGUAGCUAAUACCGCAUACGAUCUAUGGAUGAAAGCGGGGGACCGUAAGGCCUCGCGCGAUUGGAGCGGCCGAUGUCAGAUUAGGUAGUUGGUGGGGUAAAGGCUCACCAAGCCAACGAUCUGUAGCUGGUCUGAGAGGACGACCAGCCACACUGGGACUGAGACACGGCCCAGACUCCUACGGGAGGCAGCAGUGGGGAAUUUUGGACAAUGGGCACAAGCCUGAUCCAGCAAUGCCGCGUGCAGGAAGAAGGCCUUCGGGUUGUAAACUGCUUUUGUACGGAACGAAACGGCUCUGGUUAAUACCCGGGGCUAAUGACGGUACCGGAAGAAUAAGCACCGGCUAACUACGUG